UGGUGGAGUGAUUUGUCUGGUUAAUUCCGUUAACGAACGAGACCUUAUCCUGCUAAAUAGUGCCGGGGAAUUCUUCUCUAGUCACUUCUUAGAGGGACUUCGGGUGUUUAACUCGAGGAAGCUUGAGGCAAUAACA
Molecule: ribosomal RNA, 136 nt
Filed under: uncultured eukaryote
Lineage: Eukaryota
Description: partial 18S ribosomal RNA
Rfam family: Eukaryotic small subunit ribosomal RNA
Source: RNAcentral